AAAUUGAAGAGUUUGAUCAUGGCUCAGAUUGAACGCUGGCGGCAGGCCUAACACAUGCAAGUCGAACGGUAACAGGAAGCAGCUUGCUGCUUUGCUGACGAGUGGCGGACGGGUGAGUAAUGUCUGGGAAACUGCCUG
RNAcentral lists this ribosomal RNA (138 nucleotides) under Citrobacter koseri. RNAcentral's name for it is "partial 16S ribosomal RNA". It matches the Rfam family "Bacterial small subunit ribosomal RNA", at positions 1 to 132 of the family's 1533-position model. Lineage: Bacteria; Pseudomonadati; Pseudomonadota; Gammaproteobacteria; Enterobacterales; Enterobacteriaceae. The record is from RNAcentral. RNAcentral also lists the same sequence under 25 other names.